CUCAAGCUCCAUGCCCAUAUGAAUUAUUGUCUCAAAAUCUGACUUCAAGAUUUAUCAAAUUACUGGAAAGUUUCAAGUCAGAAGGAAUCUCUGGGAAUCACAAAAUCCAAUCUCCAAAGUCAAGACAUGAGUGCCCACAUGCUUCUGCAGAGAUUUCUUUGUGUCAGAUAUCAAAGCUGUGCUUCAAGACAGAGAAAUGUGCAUAAAAAUUUACCUUGUCACACGAGGGAAAAAAGUACAGAGAAGCUUCAAAGAAAUUGGUUCUGAAUAUUUGCACUUCUGUCCAUCACUACUUUAUCAAGAUC
This is a long non-coding RNA of Parus major (Great Tit), 305 nucleotides long. RefSeq lists it as uncharacterized. Lineage: Eukaryota; Metazoa; Chordata; Aves; Passeriformes; Paridae. The record is from RefSeq and is a predicted model, not a curated record. The transcript is spliced from 3 exons.